This 219-nucleotide unclassified non-coding RNA is filed under the name Tomentella punicea. RNAcentral's name for it is "partial internal transcribed spacer 2". Lineage: Eukaryota; Fungi; Basidiomycota; Agaricomycetes; Thelephorales; Thelephoraceae. The record is from RNAcentral.
ACACCUCAACUCUCAUGGUUUGCCGUGAUGAGCUUGGACUUUGGGGGUCUUGCUGGCCUACGGUCAGCUCCCCUAAAAUGAAUCAGCUUGCCAGUGUUUGGUGGGAUCACAGGUGUGAUAACUAUCUACGCUUGUGGCCUUCCACCAAUUAACUUCCAGCAAUGGAGGUUCGCUGGAGCUCAUAAACGUCUCUCCUCAGCGAGGACAGCUCUUUUGAAU